RNAcentral lists this long non-coding RNA (230 nucleotides) under Trifolium pratense (red clover). RNAcentral's name for it is "long non-coding RNA (TPRA_LNC003904)". The record is from RNAcentral. Lineage: Eukaryota; Viridiplantae; Streptophyta; Magnoliopsida; Fabales; Fabaceae.
ACACCGAUAGAGACAAUUGCUUGAGUAGCAAUUAAGGCAACAACUAGCUUUCAAAUUUUACUCUAUGGUCAUUGAGGCAUCCAUGACCCAUCCUGUUACAAAAUUUAUAUAACAAAGUAUAUUCAUCGAUUCCAACAGUCAAAUUUGGCGCUACUAGGGCAAUAUACUCCACCUCUUUUUCAUAUAAUGAAAAAAGAUUCUGUCACACGAUGAUUCACAGUCUUAUAGGG